RNAcentral lists this ribosomal RNA (701 nucleotides) under uncultured bacterium. Its description in RNAcentral is "bacterial SSU rRNA". It matches the Rfam family "Bacterial small subunit ribosomal RNA", at positions 8 to 683 of the family's 1533-position model. The record is from RNAcentral.
AGAGUUUGAUCCUGGCUCAGAAUGAACGCUGGCGGCGUGCUUAACACAUGCAAGUCGAACGAGAAAGGGAUUGCUUGCAAUCCUGAGUAGAGUGGCGCACGGGUGAGUAACACGUAGAUAAUCUACCUUCAAUUUUGGGAUAACCAAUCGAAAGGCUGGCUAAUACCGGAUAAAGUUAGUGUAUGAGAAUACAUAAAUGAAAGUAUGCCUCUUCUUGAAAGCAUAUGAUUGGAGAUGAGUCUGCGGACCAUUAGCUAGUUGGUGGGGUAAGAGCCUACCAAGGCUACGAUGGUUAGCUGGUCUGAGAGGAUGAUCAGUCACACUGGAACUGGAACACGGUCCAGACUCCUACGGGAGGCAGCAGUGAGGAAUUUUGCGCAAUGGGGGAAACCCUGACGCAGCAACGCCGCGUGAGUGAAGAAGGCCUUUGGGUCGUAAAGCUCUGCCAACUGGGAAGAAAUUACAAUAAUCUAAUAGGUUAUUAUAUUGACGGUACCAGUGGAGGAAGCGCCGGCUAACUCCGUGCCAGCAGCCGCGGUAAUACGGGGGGCGCAAGCGUUAUUCGGAAUUAUUGGGCGUAAAGGGCGUGUAGGCGGUCUUAUCGGUCAGAUGUGAAAGCCCAGGGCUCAACCCUGGACGUGCAUUUGAAACAGUAAGACUUGAGUACGGUAGAGGAAAGCGGAAUUCCUGGUGUAGAGGUG